RNAcentral lists this ribosomal RNA (189 nucleotides) under uncultured soil bacterium. RNAcentral's name for it is "partial 16S ribosomal RNA". It matches the Rfam family "Bacterial small subunit ribosomal RNA", at positions 26 to 213 of the family's 1533-position model. The record is from RNAcentral.
AGAGUGAACGCUGGCGGUAGGCCUAACACAUGCAAGUCGAACGGCAGCACGGUAAGAGCUUGCUCUUAUGGGUGGCGAGUGGCGGACGGGUGAGGAAUACAUCGGAAUCUACCUUUUGGUGGGGGAUAACGUAGGGAAACUUACGCUAAUACCGCAUACGCCCUUCGGGGGAAAGCCGGGGACCAGCAA